ACAUUCCGACAGGGGAGCGCCUGCGACGGCGCUGAGAGUGCGGCCCCCGAGGCCGCAGACCCUCCAACCUGAUCCGGGUCAUACCGGCGUAGGGAGUCAGCACAUGAAGUCC
RNAcentral lists this non-coding RNA (112 nucleotides) under Streptomyces sp. RNAcentral's name for it is "TPP sequence". It matches the Rfam family "TPP riboswitch aptamer (THI element)". From Rfam's summary of the family: Vitamin B(1) in its active form thiamin pyrophosphate (TPP) is an essential coenzyme that is synthesised by coupling of pyrimidine and thiazole moieties in bacteria. The previously detected thiamin-regulatory element, thi box was extended, resulting in a new, highly conserved RNA secondary structure, the THI element, which is widely distributed in eubacteria and also occurs in some archaea. Lineage: Bacteria; Bacillati; Actinomycetota; Actinomycetes; Kitasatosporales; Streptomycetaceae. The record is from RNAcentral. RNAcentral also lists the same sequence under 1 other name.